AGUGAACGCUGGCGGUAGGCCUAACACAUGCAAGUCGAACGGCAGCACAGUAAGAGCUUGCUCUUACGGGUGGCGAGUGGCGGACGGGUGAGGAAUACAUCGGAAUCUACUUUUUCGUGGGGGAUAACGUAGGGAAACUUACGCUAAUACCGCAUACGACCUACGGGUGAAAGCAGGGGAUCUUCGGACCUUGCGCGAUUGAAUGAGCCGAUGUCGGAUUAGUCAGUUGGCGGGGUAAAGGCCCACCAAGGCGACGAUCCGUAGCUGGUCUGAGAGGAUGAUCAGCCACACUGGAACUGAGACACGGUCCAGACUCCUACGGGAGGCAGCAGUGGGGAAUAUUGGACAAUGGGCGCAAGCCUGAUCCAGCCAUACCGCGUGGGUGAAGAAGGCCUUCGGGUUGUAAAGCCCUUUUGUUGGGAAAGAAAAGCAGCAGGUUAAUACCCCGCUGUUCUGACGGUACCCAAAGAAUAAGCACCGGCUAACUUCGUG
RNAcentral lists this ribosomal RNA (492 nucleotides) under uncultured bacterium. RNAcentral's name for it is "partial 16S ribosomal RNA". It matches the Rfam family "Bacterial small subunit ribosomal RNA", at positions 29 to 507 of the family's 1533-position model. The record is from RNAcentral.